RNAcentral lists this ribosomal RNA (561 nucleotides) under uncultured bacterium. RNAcentral's name for it is "partial 16S ribosomal RNA". It matches the Rfam family "Bacterial small subunit ribosomal RNA", at positions 355 to 909 of the family's 1533-position model. The record is from RNAcentral.
UGGGGAAUUUUGGACAAUGGGCGCAAGCCUGAUCCAGCCAUGCCGCGUGCGGGAAGAAGGCCUUCGGGUUGUAAACCGCUUUUGUCAGGGAAGAAAUCUUCUGAGUUAAUACCUCGGGAGGAUGACGGUACCUGAAGAAUAAGCACCGGCUAACUACGUGCCAGCAGCCGCGGUAAUACGUAGGGUGCAAGCGUUAAUCGGAAUUACUGGGCGUAAAGCGUGCGCAGGCGGUUUUGUAAGACAGAGGUGAAAUCCCCGGGCUCAACCUGGGAACUGCCUUUGUGACUGCAAGGCUUGAGUGCGGCAGAGGGGGAUGGAAUUCCGCGUGUAGCAGUGAAAUGCGUAGAUAUGCGGAGGAACACCGAUGGCGAAGGCAAUCCCCUGGGCCUGCACUGACGCUCAUGCACGAAAGCGUGGGGAGCAAACAGGAUUAGAUACCCUGGUAGUCCACGCCCUAAACGAUGUCAACUGGUUGUUGGGAAGGUUCCUUCUCAGUAACGUAGCUAACGCGUGAAGUUGACCGCCUGGGGAGUACGGCCGCAAGGUUGAAACUCAAAUGAA